GACGAACGCUGGCGGCGUGCUUAACACAUGCAAGUCGAACGGAAAGGCCCUGCUUGCAGGGUGCUCGAGUGGCGAACGGGUGAGUAACACGUGGGUGAUCUGCCCCUUACUUUGGGAUAAGCCUGGGAAACUGGGUCUAAUACUGGAGAGGAACAUGCUGUAGGUGGUGUGGUGGAAAGAUUAGUUUCGGUAAGGGAUGAGCUCGCGGCCUAUCAGCUUGUUGGUGGGGUAAUGGCCUACCAAGGCGUCGACGGGUAGCCGGCCUGAGAGGGUGGACGGCCACAUUGGGACUGAGAUACGGCCCAGACUCCUACGGGAGGCAGCAGUGGGGAAUAUUGCACAAUGGGCGCAAGCCUGAUGCAGCGACGCCGCGUGGGGGAUGACGGCCUUCGGGUUGUAAACUCCUUUCAGCCAUGACGAAGCCCUUGUGGUGACGGUAGUGGUAGAAGAAGCACCGGCUAACUACGUG
RNAcentral lists this ribosomal RNA (469 nucleotides) under uncultured bacterium. RNAcentral describes it as "partial 16S ribosomal RNA". It matches the Rfam family "Bacterial small subunit ribosomal RNA", at positions 28 to 507 of the family's 1533-position model. The record is from RNAcentral.